AUUGAACGCUGGCGGCAGGCUUAACACAUGCAAGUCGAGCGGGGGAAGGUAGCUUGCUACCGGACCUAGCGGCGGACGGGUGAGUAAUGCUUAGGACUCUGCCUAUUAGUGGGGGACAACAUCUCGACAGGGAUGCUAAUACCGCAUACGUCCUACGGGAGAAAGCAGAGGAUCACUUGUGACCUUGCGCUAAUAGAUGAGCCUAAGUCGGAUUAGCCAGUUGGUGGGGUAAAGGCCUACCAAGGCGACGAUCUGUAGCGGGUCUGAGAGGAUGAUCCGCCACGCUGGGACUGAGAAACGGCCCAGACUCCUACGGGAGGCAGCAGUGGGGAAGAUUGGACAAUGGGGGGAACCCUGAUCUAGCCAUGCCGCGUGUGUGAAGAAGGCCUUAUGGUUGUAAAGCACUUUAGGCGAGGAGGAGGCUCUUUUGGUUAAUACCCAAGAUGAGUGGACGUGACUCGCAGAAUAAGCACCGGCUAACUCUGUGCCAGCCGCCGCAGUAA
RNAcentral lists this ribosomal RNA (503 nucleotides) under uncultured bacterium. RNAcentral describes it as "partial 16S ribosomal RNA". It matches the Rfam family "Bacterial small subunit ribosomal RNA", at positions 30 to 523 of the family's 1533-position model. The record is from RNAcentral.